Molecule: ribosomal RNA, 492 nt
Filed under: uncultured bacterium
Lineage: Bacteria
Description: partial 16S ribosomal RNA
Rfam family: Bacterial small subunit ribosomal RNA
Source: RNAcentral
AGUGAACGCUGGCGGUAGGCCUAACACAUGCAAGUCGAACGGCAGCACAGUAAGAGCUUGCUCUUACGGGUGGCGAGUGGCGGACGGGUGAGGAAUACAUCGGAAUCUACUUUUUCGUGGGGGAUAACGUAGGGAAACUUACGCUAAUACCGCAUACGACCUACGGGUGAAAGCAGGGGAUCUUCUGACCUUGCGCGAUUGAAUGAGCCGAUGUCGGAUUAGCUAGUUGGCGGGGUAAAGGCCCGCCAAGGCGACGAUCCGUAGCUGGUCUGAGAGGAUGAUCAGCCACACUGGAACUGAGACACGGUCCAGACUCCUACGGGAGGCAGCAGUGGGGAAUAUUGGACAAUGGGCGCAAGCCUGAUCCAGCCAUACCGCGUGGGUGAAGAAGGCCUUCGGGUUGUAAAGCCCUUUUGUUGGGAAAGAAAAGCAGCAGGUUAAUACCCCGCUGUUCUGACGGUACCCAAAGAAUAAGCACCGGCUAACUUCGUG